RNAcentral lists this ribosomal RNA (440 nucleotides) under uncultured bacterium. RNAcentral's name for it is "partial 16S ribosomal RNA". It matches the Rfam family "Bacterial small subunit ribosomal RNA", at positions 338 to 795 of the family's 1533-position model. The record is from RNAcentral.
CCUACGGGUGGCAGCAGUGGGGAAUAUUGCACAAUGGGGGAAACCCUGAUGCAGCGACGCCGCGUGAGUGACGAAGUAUUUCGGUAUGUAAAGCUCUAUCAGCAGGGAAGAAAAUGCCGGUACCUGAUUAAGAAGCCCCGGCUAACUCCGUGCCAGCAGCCGCGGUAAUACGUAGGGGGCAAGCGUUCUCCGGAUUUACUGGGUGUAACGGGAGCGUAGACGGCAGCACAAGGCUGGAGUGAAAGGCCGGUGCUUAACCCCGGAACUGCUGUGGAAACUGUGCAGCUAGAGUGCAGGAGAGGUAAGCGGAAUUCCUAGUGUAGCGGUGAAAUGCGUAGAUAUUAGGAGGAACACCAGUGGCGAAGGCGGCUUACUGGACGGUAACUGACGUUGAGGCUCGAAAGCGUGGGUAGCAAACAGGAUUAGAUACCCGGGUAGUC